CCUACGGGAGGCAGCAGUGGGGAAUAUUGCACAAUGGGGGAAACCCUGAUGCAGCGACGCCGCGUGAGUGAAGAAGUCUUUCGGUAUGUAAAGCUCUAUCAGCAGGGAAGAAAAUGACGGUACCUGAUUACGACGCCCCGGCUAACUACGUGCCAGUCGCCGCGGUAAUACGUAGGGGGCAAGCGUUAUCCGGAUUUACUGGGUGUAAAGGGAGCGUAGACGGCAGCACAAGUCUGGAGUGAAAUGCCGGGGCUUAACCCCGGAACUGCUUUGGAAACUGUGCAGCUGGAGUGCAGGAGAGGUGAGUGGAAUGCCUGGUGUAGCGGUGAAAUGCGUAGAUAUUAGGAGGAACACCAGUGGCGAAGGCGGCUUACUGAACUGUAACUGACGUUGAGGCUCGAAAGCGUGGGGAGCAAACAGGAUUAGAUACCCUUGUAGUC
This 440-nucleotide ribosomal RNA is filed under the name uncultured bacterium. Its description in RNAcentral is "partial 16S ribosomal RNA". It matches the Rfam family "Bacterial small subunit ribosomal RNA", at positions 338 to 795 of the family's 1533-position model. The record is from RNAcentral.